GUGGGGAAUAUUGGACAAUGGGGGAAACCCUGAUCCAGCCAUGCCGCGUGUGUGAAGAAGGCCCUCGGGUUGUAAAGCACUUUCAGCGAGGAAGAACGCCUAGCGGUUAAUACCCGCUAGGAAAGACAUCACUCGCAGAAGAAGCACCGGCUAACUCCGUGCCAGCAGCCGCGGUAAUACGGAGGGUGCAAGCGUUAAUCGGAAUUACUGGGCGUAAAGCGCGCGUAGGUGGCUUGAUAAGCCGGUUGUGAAAGCCCCGGGCUCAACCUGGGAACGGCAUCCGGAACUGUCAAGCUAGAGUGCAGGAGAGGAAGGUAGAAUUCCCGGUGUAGCGGUGAAAUGCGUAGAGAUCGGGAGGAAUACCAGUGGCGAAGGCGGCCUUCUGGACUGACACUGACACUGAGGUGCGAAAGCGUGGGUAGCAAACAGG
This 430-nucleotide ribosomal RNA is filed under the name uncultured bacterium. RNAcentral describes it as "bacterial SSU rRNA". It matches the Rfam family "Bacterial small subunit ribosomal RNA", at positions 354 to 776 of the family's 1533-position model. The record is from RNAcentral.